GGAGAGAUGACCGAGUGGCCGAAGGUGCACGACUGGAAAUCGUGUGUACGGAAACGUACCGUGGGUUCGAAUCCCACUCUCUCCGCCA
RNAcentral lists this transfer RNA (88 nucleotides) under Deltaproteobacteria bacterium HGW-Deltaproteobacteria-20. RNAcentral describes it as "tRNA-Ser". It matches the Rfam family "tRNA". From Rfam's summary of the family: Transfer RNA (tRNA) molecules are approximately 80 nucleotides in length. Their secondary structure includes four short double-helical elements and three loops (D, anti-codon, and T loops). Lineage: Bacteria; Deltaproteobacteria. The record is from RNAcentral.